AAUAUGUGUGUGACUGCGUGUGCCCGCGGUUGUCCGCACCCCAAUUUUAUAGGUUAACAUUUGUCAGCAUUGGCACUAAAAAUGAGCUACAACAAAGGCAUCCAUCGAGAAAGACAUGAGCCUUCCAGCCACACCAAGACUCAUAAUGCUUGGGAACAAUUUCUCUCUUCCACAAAGUGGAUGGUAAGCAUUGAGGGAAAGGUGGCCUAUGUUUUGGAUGAGCACCUGGGAUGUGCAGAUGCCUUUCUGUAUUCUUCAUCUUCUUCUACGUUUUCAACAUUGAAUACCAGGAGACUGCCUGUGCAACACUGGAACUCAUAAAACAGUUUUUCUUGAGGAUAAACCCAGAGGAGGGAACAAAAUGCACCGCCAAAACCGGAGUGAGUCGGAAGACAGGGGAAGUUGUGAAGAGAAAGACAACAGUAAUAAACAACAGUGUCAUCCUUUCUUCACCACCUAAUGGAGUUUGAG
Molecule: long non-coding RNA, 471 nt
Organism: Carassius gibelio (silver crucian carp)
Lineage: Eukaryota; Metazoa; Chordata; Actinopteri; Cypriniformes; Cyprinidae
Exons: 4
Source: RefSeq, a predicted model, not a curated record